Odocoileus virginianus texanus is the source of this 2824-nucleotide non-coding RNA. The record is from RefSeq and is a predicted model, not a curated record. Lineage: Eukaryota; Metazoa; Chordata; Mammalia; Artiodactyla; Cervidae.
CAUCUCACCUGACUUCCUCUGACCAGGGAUCCCUCUGGUCCUAGGUCUGACACUGCCCUUCCCUCCCUCUGACUCCACCUCCCCUCUCCCUCUUCCUGCCUCUCCCCUUGCCCUCCUGCCUGGACCCUUAGGGAGCCGACGCCUCCCUGCCCUGGCACUUGUCCUAAAUGUGUGUCCAUCUCCACCCUCUCGCUCCACUCCUCCAUUCCCCUCUCCCUCCUUCUCUUUCGCAUUUUUCCUGUAUGGAAAUCCUCAUUCUGGCCCCUUGAACACAUGCAUGUUCUGCAUCCUCAGCACCUGGAGUAGGUCAGGAUACAGAACUUGUCUGUUAAACACCUGAUGUACACUUGUUUCCAGAAAGCAGCUUCAUCUGCGGUUCCUCCUUCCCUAGGAUCCCACAGUCUUUCUUACAACACGACGGUGCUAUCCUGGGAUGGCUUUGUGCAGUCCAGGUUUUUUGCUGAGGGACACUUGGAUGGUCAGGCCUUCCUGCACUUUGAUGACACGAAGUGGAGGGCAGAGCCACAGGGAUGGUGGGCUGAAAGGCUGGGAGCAGAGACGUGGGAGACAGAGUCCAAGGACUUGAACGAGACCUGUAAGGAGCUCAGAACACUUCUAGCAGAAAUCCUGUCCCUGCAGGAAGAGAAAAGAGGCUUACAUUCCCUCCAGGAGACUGUGGGCUGUGAGAUCCGUGAAGACAGCCGCGCCCGGGGCUUCCGGCUUCUCCACUUCGAUGGGGAGCUCCUCCUUUCCUGUUACCCGGAGGCCCACGGAUGUGCCCUGCCCCAGUCCUCUGCUUGGACCUUGGCCAUGGAAAUGGAGAAGUCCUGGGACACAGACGGCUUUCUAAGCAAGCAUUACCAGGCCCACGUGCAGGGAGAACUUUGUGGAAGACUGCGGGUCUACCUGGAAUCCUGGACGGGCUUCAUGGAGAGGACAGUGCCGCCAGCCGUGAAUGUGACCCGCAGCCAGGACUCAGAGGGCAUGGUCCACCUCACAUGCAGGGCUUUUGGCUUCUUUCCCCGGAAUAUCUCAGUGGCCUGGUUUUGGGACGAGGAACCCAUGAGCCGGGAUGCCCUGGAGUCUGGGGGUAUCCUGCCUGAUGGGAACGGGACCUACUAUACCUGGGAAACCAUAAUAAUUCCCCAAGGAGAGGAGCAGCGGGUCAAGUGCCUUGUGGAACACAGCGGGAAUCACAGUACACACCUCGCACCCUUGGGAAAGACCCUGGUGCACCAGAGAUCACGGUGGAUCAUUGUGAGCACUGCUCUUGUUGCUCUUGGUGCUCUUGCUGUUAUUGCUAUCAUCGGUUUUUGUAUCUUUUGUUGUACUAAGAGGAAGACAGUGUCAGCUACAGGGAGGCCAGAGCCUAUUAGCCUACAAGACCGGGAUCAGUUCCAGACGGAGCCAACUGAUCAUAAUGGCCUCACACACCCAGAAUUUCAAUCCUCGUGUCAGACUCAGCUCCUCAGUUUAACAGGGGAAGCUUAGAAUCUGCAGCCAGGAGGCCUGAAUUCAGUUCUGAGUUCUGGUCUUAAUAGCACUUUUUUUUUUUAAUGUGUGUUAUUAAUUUUAUUAUUUUAAAAUUAUUUUUAUUUUAUAUUUUAUUUUUAACUGGAGAAUACUUGCAUUAUAAUGUAUCGGUUUCUGCCAAACAGCACUGUGAAUCAGCCCUAAGUCUACAUGUAUCUCCUCCCUCUGGAACUUCCCUCCCACCCUCCCCAUCUCACCCCUCUAGGUCACUGAGCACCAGGCUGAGUACCCAGUCAGGUCCUGUUCCCUCCCUGCUGGUGCACACGAUGCACAGUAAGCUAAUGGGAAUAGAGAACUCAUUCCAUAUCUGUUUAUCCCAGUAGCUUUUUACACGCGGUGAUGUGUAUGUUUCAAUGCUACUCUCAAUUCAUCCCACCCUCUCCUUCCCUCACAAGUCCGUUCUCCACGUCUGGGUCUCUAUUCCUGCUCUGUAAAUAGUUCAUCAGUACCACUUUUCUAGAUUCCAUAUAGAUGCAUUUUUUGUUUUAUUAUUAUUAUUUUUGAAGGUAGUUGAUUUAUAGUAGAACACAUUCCUUCUUGAGGUCUCCAUUUUUUCAUCUAUGAAAUGAGAAAACUAGUGUUUAUUUUGUUAAGGUUGGGAUGAUUAAAACCGAUAAUAUAUUUGAUGUGGUUACUGUUGAAGAUGAGUGUCCUGAACCGAGACAGUAAAGGAGCCCAGAACGUGGAGGGCUGGGCAGCAUCUCCCUCCAUGAGCUCAGGCUGAUUUCCACAGGGCAGACGGGAGGUGAGACUUCUCCAUCGGACCUCAGUUGUUCCUGACUUCUGGUCCGGGGGCACACAGGUAAGCGGUGCUCUCCUUGGUCAGGACCACCUUAGCCUCACCCAGGUAAAGCAUUUGUGGCAGCGUGUUCUAAGGGGCACCUCCCACAGACCUGAGACAGAUGACAGGAGCACUUUCUGCAGCAGGACCGGACUGGAAGCAAGAGGGUGAUGAAGGGCUCUCCUAGUCAGGGCCUGUUCCCUCCCUGCCUGGUGCACACGAUGCACAGUACGGUAAUGGGAAUAGAGAACUCAUUCCAUAUCUGUUUAUCCAAAUGGGAUGAUAUAUUCUUUCAUGGUUUUAUUCAAGGUUAAUGUCAUUCACGCAGUUGUGCAUGCAUGUUUCCAUUCGAGUAUUCUUGCAUUUUAGUAAACUCUCAAGUGUCAUUUGUUGUACUCAGCUUUCAUUAAGCAUAAACUUUCAUCAUCACUCAUUUUCUUGUGUGAUUAUUUCAUCAAAGGCACCACUGGCUGUAAAUUAAGAAGUCAAAUAUCUGUGCAUGAUUUCUCA